RNAcentral lists this ribosomal RNA (53 nucleotides) under Colletotrichum sp. CN1. RNAcentral describes it as "partial 18S ribosomal RNA". It matches the Rfam family "Eukaryotic small subunit ribosomal RNA", at positions 1779 to 1831 of the family's 1831-position model. The record is from RNAcentral. Lineage: Eukaryota; Fungi; Ascomycota; Sordariomycetes; Glomerellales; Glomerellaceae.
UAAGGUGAAGUCGUAACAAGGUCUCCGUUGGUGAACCAGCGGAGGGAUCAUUA